This is a long non-coding RNA of Sapajus apella (tufted capuchin), 175 nucleotides long. RefSeq lists it as uncharacterized. Lineage: Eukaryota; Metazoa; Chordata; Mammalia; Primates; Cebidae. The transcript is spliced from 2 exons. The record is from RefSeq and is a predicted model, not a curated record.
AGUUCUUCAACCCCCCGCCUCCCGAGUAGCUGAGACUACAGGAAAGGAAAGCUGCUACAUCAUGACAAGAAGCUAAUCAAUCAAGAAGCAAGGAGCUGCUGGCACCUUGACUAACUACAGACCCUUGCUGCCGACCCUGCCGGGAUCCCCAGAAUCACCACUGCUACUUCAGAAA